This 512-nucleotide ribosomal RNA is filed under the name uncultured bacterium. Its description in RNAcentral is "partial 16S ribosomal RNA". It matches the Rfam family "Bacterial small subunit ribosomal RNA", at positions 28 to 522 of the family's 1533-position model. The record is from RNAcentral.
GACGAACGCUGGCGGCGUGCCUAAUACAUGCAAGUAGAACGCUGAAGAAAGGAGCUUGCUUCUUUUGGAUGAGUUGCGAACGGGUGAGUAACGCGUAGGUAGCCUGCCUUGUAGCGGGGGAUAACUAUUGGAAACGAUAGCUAAUACCGCAUAACAGCUUUUGACACAUGUUAGAAGCUUGAAAGAUGCAAUUGCAUCACUACGAGAUGGACCUGCGUUGUAUUAGCUAGUAGGUAGGGUAACGGCCUACCUAGGCGACGAUACAUAGCCGACCUGAGAGGGUGAUCGGCCACACUGGGACUGAGACACGGCCCAGACUCCUACGGGAGGCAGCAGUAGGGAAUCUUCGGCAAUGGGGGCAACCCUGGCCGAGCAACGCCGCGUGAGUGAAGAAGGUUUUCGGAUCGUAAAGCUCUGUUGUAAGAGAAGAACGUGUGUGAGAGUGGAAAGUUCACACAGUGACGGUAACUUACCAGAAAGGGACGGCUAACUACGUGCCAGCCGCCGCGUAA